UGGGGAAUAUUGCGCAAUGUGGGAAACCCUGACGCAGCAACGCCGCGUGAAGGAUGAAGGUUUUCGGAUUGUAAACUUCUUUGAUGAGGGACGAACACAAUGACGGUACCUCAAAAACAAGCCACGGCUAACUACGUGCCAGCAGCCGCGGUAAUACGUAGGUGGCGAGCGUUGUCCGGAAUUACUGGGCGUAAAGGGCGCGUAGGCGGCCUGAUAAGUCAGAUGUGAAACCCCCAGGCUCAACUUGGGGCAUGCAUUUGAAACUGUCGGGCUCGAGUGUCGGAGAGGGAAGCGGAAUUCCUAGUGUAGCGGUGAAAUGCGUAGAUAUUGGGAGGAACACCAGUGGCGAAGGCGGCUUUCUGGACGACAACUGACGCUGAGGCGCGAAAGCGUGGGGAGCAAACAGG
RNAcentral lists this ribosomal RNA (407 nucleotides) under uncultured prokaryote. RNAcentral describes it as "bacterial SSU rRNA". It matches the Rfam family "Bacterial small subunit ribosomal RNA", at positions 355 to 776 of the family's 1533-position model. The record is from RNAcentral.